UUGGUGGUUCAGUGGUAGAAUUCUCGCCU
RNAcentral lists this non-coding RNA (29 nucleotides) under Drosophila melanogaster (fruit fly). RNAcentral also lists the same sequence under 11 other names. Lineage: Eukaryota; Metazoa; Arthropoda; Insecta; Diptera; Drosophilidae. The record is from RNAcentral.